GUGGAUUAGAUACCCUGGUAGUCCACGCCCUAAACGAUGUCAACUAGGUGUUGGGAGCGCAAGUUCUUGGUACCGCAGCUAACGCGUGAAGUUGACCGCCUGGGGAGUACGGUCGCAAGAUUAAAACUCAAAGGAAUUGACGGGGACCCGCACAAGCGGUGGAUGAUGUGGAUUAAUUCGAUGCAACGCGAACAACCUUACCUACCCUUGACAUGUCCGGAAGGCUGCUGAAAGGCGGUUGUGCCCGCAAGGGAACCGGAACACAGGUGCUGCACGGUUGUCGUCAACU
RNAcentral lists this ribosomal RNA (289 nucleotides) under uncultured bacterium. Its description in RNAcentral is "partial 16S ribosomal RNA". It matches the Rfam family "Bacterial small subunit ribosomal RNA", at positions 773 to 1060 of the family's 1533-position model. The record is from RNAcentral.